Molecule: ribosomal RNA, 159 nt
Filed under: Tricholoma populinum
Lineage: Eukaryota; Fungi; Basidiomycota; Agaricomycetes; Agaricales; Tricholomataceae
Description: 5.8S ribosomal RNA
Rfam family: 5.8S ribosomal RNA
About the family: 5.8S ribosomal RNA (5.8S rRNA) is a component of the large subunit of the eukaryotic ribosome.
Source: RNAcentral
UUCAACAACGGAUCUCUUGGCUCUCGCAUCGAUGAAGAACGCAGCGAAAUGCGAUAAGUAAUGUGAAUUGCAGAAUUCAGUGAAUCAUCGAAUCUUUGAACGCACCUUGCGCUCCUUGGUAUUCCGAGGAGCAUGCCUGUUUGAGUGUCAUGAAAUUCU